This 496-nucleotide ribosomal RNA is filed under the name uncultured bacterium. RNAcentral describes it as "partial 16S ribosomal RNA". It matches the Rfam family "Bacterial small subunit ribosomal RNA", at positions 29 to 507 of the family's 1533-position model. The record is from RNAcentral.
AUGAACGCUGGCGGCGUGCCUAAUACCUGCAAGUCGCGCGAACAGACGAGGAGCUUGCUCCUCUGACGUUAGCGGCGGACGGGUGAGUAACACGUGGAUAACCUACCUAUAAGACUGGGACAACUUCGGGAAACCGGAGCUAAUACCGGAUAAUAUAUUGAACCGCAUGGUUCAAUAGUGAAAGACGGUUUUGCUGUCACUUAUAGAUGGAUCCGCGCCGCAUUAGCUAGUUGGUAAGGUAACGGCUUACCAAGGCAACGAUGCGUAGCCGACCUGAGAGGGUGAUCGGCCACACUGGAACUGAGACACGGUCCAGACUCCUACGGGAGGCAGCAGUAGGGAAUCUUCCGCAAUGGGCGAAAGCCUGACGGAGCAACGCCGCGUGAGUGAUGAAGGUCUUCGGAUCGUAAAACUCUGUUAUUAGGGAAGAACAAAUGUGUAAGUAACUAUGCACGUCUUGACGGUACCUAAUCAGGAAGCCACGGCUAACUACGUG